CGUCCUGGCGCAGGCUGCAUUUUCCCGCGCGCAGGAAAGUUGGUGAGGAAGAACCUGGAAGCAACAUGGAUUGUGCCUUCUUGUUCACCUUCCUCCGUCUUGUCCUUUCUCCCUCACCCAAACACUCACAUUCUAGUGGAAGGCAACAGAAAAAACAUAUGGUAUUUCAGAGGCCGACAAGUGCUGUAAAGAAAAAUAGAGCAAGAAGCAGUGAGGCAGAGAUGCUGCUACUGAAGAAGAUACCAGCUAAUGUCAGUAAUGAAAUCCCCCAAGGAGGCAGGAGUCUCUGUGUCUUUUGUGUUCUGGGAGUGGCUCUUGCUUCGGAGGGAAGAAAGAAAAUCUGUUGAGACAGACUCCGAUUCUCCUGCUGAGGGAGGCCCCGCUGUGGUUGCAUCAGGGUCCAGGUCUCUCCCUGAAGAAGACACUCAACUGAAUUUUCAAAAUUAGGGCCACAACUCCCCACCUUGGGUUUAACAUGAAAGAAUGGGAGGGCUUAGAAGUUGGACAGGGACACAAAAGGAAGAGACUGGAAAAGAAGGCAAGCCAUGAGAGUUCAGCCAUGGCCAAAUUGCCCAUCUGUCCAGAAUUUCUCCCCUGAGCACUUGCCCUCUCGUCCCGAGAGGCAGCAUUUGGCCUCCCUGCCUCUUAUCCUACUCCUGAGAAGAAACAUCUCCUGGAAAGAAUAAAAAUGCUGGAAGGAGAAGGAGCAGAAGAAAGAACGUCUCCUGGAAAGGAAGAAAAUGCUGGAAGGAAGGAGCAGAUGAAGGAACAGGGCCUGCAGAGUGGGCAGCCGGUGUUGUCCACCCAAGUUGACUUAGGAGGACAGCAAUGUGACACAGGUCGGCCAGCACUGGCCUAGGAGCCAGAGGCCUCCAUUCUUGUCUUUGUGUGGCCUGGAACAAGUCACUGUCCUCUCCACUGCCCUCCAAGGCAUCAGCUGAGACAACCUCUGGGUGUCCUUUCAGACUCUGAAAUCUUACCACCUCUUCUACCAUCAUCAUUUGCCAUGAGAGGUGCAUGAGAGAUACCUUUCUCCCAAGAAACGUUCAUACCCUGGCAGCCUCCUUCACGGAAUCGACUAUUUUGGGUCUGCAGCGUCUCCCCUCCUCUCCUGACCCUCCUCUCAGUCACACAGUCCUCUGAGGUUUUCAUCAGUGUUGAUUAGAGAUAACAGAUGGACUACAUGGACGCGCAGGUUCAUUCCAUUGACGUUCACCACGAGCCUUCCACUGCUGCGGUUGCAAGAUGACUUCCACUGUUGACUAAAUGCACCUGGCGUGUUCAUAGCCUCAAAGCCUCUGCCAGCGUCUUUCUCAUCCCACUGAAGACUCAGCCCUCGGGAAGGGACCGCAGGCUAAGCCGAGCCGAGCCUGUGCCCGAGCCUUUGGCACGUUCAGGAGCCACCAUGGGACUGGGGGUUCCCUUUCCACCAGGAGGCUGGGAAAGUAUGAUCGGAGUCCAUCUUCCAGAUCUCUGGGAAAAGAAAGUCAGCUUGAAAACGUCAAACGCCUGGCUCAGUUAGACCUUUCUCCAGGUUGUCAUUUACUUAGAAAAGGAGCACUAUUCAAGCCUUAAAUGUCAGCUUCUUGCCUCUAAAACUGUGGGAUCAGGUAAACCCCUGAGCAUUUCAGCCUGUACGCCUGCACCAAGGGCUGGGCUCCCUGGCUCUCAGUGGAGGGCAGCAGACGCUGCCCAGGAAGCAGCCCCAGGGAAAUGUCCACUAGGUACCAGAGAUUUUGGGAUUUUGGUCUGUCUGUGAGUUUCAUGCACCUCAUUCCUGAGGGCGGUUCCUAAAUCUUUACCCUAAUAUAUUUGAAAGAUGACAACUCUUUAAAAACACGACUAGACCUGAACUUUAAGUCCCAAGCUUGGAUCCCUUUACCUGGCAGCUCGUCCUACAUCCAGCCAGCCGCCUUCUAUGAGCUAAUCCCCGUCUUGGCUCCUGCCUGUGAACUGCCUUCCUCAUCCCUGUGAGGCACCAUAUGCUUCAUGAUAUCCUCUAAAGAGGACGAAUCUCCCUUAGCUGUUCUCUAACUUUUGGAAUGUACUGUCCCCUCUACAGUGUUAAAAAAACAAAACAAAAGAAAACAAAACAAAUUAAGUUCUAAUGUAGCUGGAGAGCUAAUGGACCUCUCUUUCCCAGGAAAAGGAAAACAAAGAUUCCAACCAUUCCCAGCUCCUGAAAAAUCCUGCUGAGAGAUGAUCAGCCUCAUUCCGGGCUAACUGCUAACAAGCUUGAAUUCGGCUAUUCAGGGACUGUCCUUUGUUCACUUCUCUGCUACCUGAAUUGUCUUCCCUCUCUGCCUUCAGACACACUGAACCAGAAGUUCAGGUCGGGGACAAGAGACGGCAAAAUGCACCCUCAAUGGAGAGAAUGAAGAGAGAAUCAUGACCAGCUCCCACGUUGCAACAGCCUUAGCUCCACCAGAAACAUGCCAAACUGGAGACUGGUUUGUCAUGGGGAUUGACAAAAUGCUGAUCAAACUCACAAGAGAUGGCAAGAUUAUUCAAUAUAGACGCUAGAUUGUUAGCAUUUGAAAGAGUCGCUGGCAUUAUAGAGGGGACCACGAGCCAAGAGAAGCGACUUUCUCCAUGUCACACACUAAUUAAUGCCAACGGUAGAAUGAGAACCCAGAAACCCUAACUCUCAAAUAAGUACUUUUUCUACUACCCUUUGCUGUCAAAUCUCAAUGAGAACUAGAAUAUGUGUAUAAGAUUUUCAAUAUAUUCUUUUUUCAGAAAAGAAGGCUACUUGGGGAAAUAACGUCCUUAAUAGAAAGUUUUUGGAAUGUGCAGAGGGCCAGUCCAGGGUAUGUGCUGGAGAGAAAUAGAUGAAGCUAAAGUCAGAGUUGCACGGAGCCAUGCUGGAAAAUCAACCCAGAGAGACACUCUGCUCCCCAUAGUGGGAGUAAGGAAGACUGGAACAGCUGGGACAGUCAAUAGCUGUAUGGAUGGUCAAUGAAGGAAGGAAGUGGGGCUCCAAGAGGAACCUAUGCCCCUGAAUUAGACGUGGAACUAUUCUGAGAAAGGACAGAGAAACCAACAGAGGGAAAAGUUAAUCCCUGCUUAACUGUCCUUUGUUUCUGGACACAAGCUGAAGCAAAUCCUGAACAACAGAGCUUCGAAGCAAGAUUACCAAAAGGCGCAGUCACCCACUCAUGGGCCAUCUGAGGCUGGACUGGAGCAGUUCUAGAGGCCCACACAGAGGACUAGCAGACACAAGGAUACGGCGCCGGCACGCCCACCGCUGAGGAAGCAGCAAAAGAAACCAAAGCAAUGUCCUGACUAAUACGCAGUCUGAGGGAACAGCAAAGUGCUCCUGCAAAUCUUCUUAACUGCAUUUCAUCUUCCCAAGAACCCAGGUUAAGAGCCGGAACUUUCCGGUAGAAAGCAGAUCUCCUUUGGAAGAGGACUGCUGAGACUCUUGCUUGACUUCGAGUUUCCCGAGCGAGACACUCCGAAGAGCUCUGAAUCAGACACAGAGGCUACAGGGAUCAGGCUCCUGUGUCAGAACAGUUCAUCUCCAUCACAGCUGAGCAGGGAACCGUGCAGGCUGAACAGAAGAAUCGCCACAGAGGCUUCGGCCAACUGUAAAAAGAACAUUUCAAGCAAGUCAGAAAUUCUCCCAGGUGUCUUGUAAUCAAGAAGAAAAAGAGAGGCAAGAGAAAAAUAGAAACUGUCAGAAAGAGUGGCUGGCGAUGGUACGCAGAACGGGUUCUUACUGACAUUUCAGCCCUUCAAUCUAAUGAGCUCAUCUCUCUUUGUUCAGUAAAAAGUGGAUGAUUAGGGAAGGACAAAGAGCCUGGAAGAGAGGAAUGAUUUUGUCUGCUUUUGGCAGAGACAGUGAAUGGUCUCUUGGCUGCUCCAGUGGCCAGGCUAUUAUAAAAAAGUAGGUAAAGAUUUUCUCAUGAAGAAUGAUUGAAUAGGACUAUGGUGGGGCAGGGGUCUCCUGUCUAUAGCAAAGAUCUUAUGGGGACAAUGACCACAGCAUCUUUUAUGUGGACCUGUAUGAGUAACACAUCAUUCCAAAACAUAGUGACUUACAACAACAGUCAUUUAUUUAGAUCUCAGUUCUGUGGGCUGGCUGGGUAGGUCUUCUGGUCUGGGCCAGCUUGGCUGAGUUCUGCUGGGCUCUCAUGCACCUGUGGUCAGCUGGCAGGUCGGUUGGCAGCUGAAUGAUUGAGGAUGGCCCCAUUCAUGUCUGGCCGCUAGCAGGCUGUUAGCAAGAGUUAUGGGCUGGCCGGUUACAUGUCUCUCAUCAGCCAGCAGAGGCUAGCACAGGUUUGUUCAUGCAGCAGCAGAUUCCCAAGAGCAGCAAGGGAGGAAGCUUCAAAGCCCCUUGAGGCCUAGGCUGGGAACCUGUACACUGUCACUUCUAAUGCACUCUGUUGAUCAAGGAAGGCACGGGCCAAGUGGGUGAUCAGCUAUCCCGGUUUUCCCAGAACUGAGGGGUUUCCCAAGAUGCAAGAGUUUCAAUACAAAAACCGAUAAAGCUCUGGACAAACCAGGAUGGUUGGUCACUCUAGUGCCUCAGAUUCCCCAAGGAGUGGGGAACUAACAAACCUCCCAAGAAGGUAUAUAAAUGGCCACUAGUGCACGAAAGUCUCAACAUCACUAAUUGUUAGGGAAAUGCAAAUCAAAAUCUCACUCACUAGGAUAGCUAUUAUAAACAACAACAGGCCAGGCACAGUGGCUCAUGCCUGUAAUCCCAGCACUUGGGGAGGC
Long non-coding RNA from Piliocolobus tephrosceles (Ugandan red Colobus), 4725 nucleotides. RefSeq lists it as uncharacterized. Lineage: Eukaryota; Metazoa; Chordata; Mammalia; Primates; Cercopithecidae. The record is from RefSeq and is a predicted model, not a curated record. The transcript is spliced from 9 exons.